This 207-nucleotide long non-coding RNA is filed under the name Elaeis guineensis (African oil palm). RNAcentral's name for it is "long non-coding RNA (EGUI_LNC067271)". The record is from RNAcentral. Lineage: Eukaryota; Viridiplantae; Streptophyta; Magnoliopsida; Arecales; Arecaceae.
AUUCAAUAAAUUAUCAAUUGAUAUACAUAUAUAAUAAGAAUACAAUAAUGAAUAAUAAAUAUUACAAUAUCAUGCAAUUAUCUUUCAAUUUGGUACAUCCAUCUUGUAUGUACUGGUCCACCCAAUCUAGCCUCAUGUAGAAGAUGAACAGAAAGAUGCACCAUGAUAUCAAAGAAGGCGGGAGGAAAUAUCAUCUCGAGCUUACAG